AAUGAACGCUGGCGGCGUGCCUAACGCAUGCAAGUCGGAUGUGCCGCAAGGUGCAUGGCAGACGGGUGAGUAACGCGUGGGGAACCUACCUCUUCGUGGGGAAUAACGAUCCGAAGGGAUUGGUAAUACCGCAUGAGACCGACGGCUGGGAUGCUGUCGGUGAAAGCUGGGGACCGGAAACGGCCUGGCGCGAGGAGAGGGUCCUGCGUCUGAUUAGCUAGUUGGUGGGGUAACGCCUACCAAGGCAUCGAGUCAGUAGCCGGCCUGAGAGGGUGAUCGGCCACACUGGAACUGAGACACGGUCCAGACUCCUACGGGAGGCAGCAGUGGGGAAUUUUGCGCAAUGGACGAAAGUCUGACGCAGCAACGCCGCGUGGGUGAUGAAGGUCUUCGGAUUGUAAAACCCUGUCGUCGGGGACGAAGGUAGGAGGGUUAAUAGCCCUUUUGCUUGACGGUACCCGGAGAGGAAGCCCCCGGCUAACUCUGUGCCAGCAGCCGCGGUAAU
This 505-nucleotide ribosomal RNA is filed under the name uncultured bacterium. RNAcentral describes it as "bacterial SSU rRNA". It matches the Rfam family "Bacterial small subunit ribosomal RNA", at positions 28 to 524 of the family's 1533-position model. The record is from RNAcentral.